This 1440-nucleotide long non-coding RNA is filed under the name Nicotiana benthamiana. RNAcentral describes it as "long non-coding RNA (NBEN_LNC003370)". The record is from RNAcentral. Lineage: Eukaryota; Viridiplantae; Streptophyta; Magnoliopsida; Solanales; Solanaceae.
UAAUAGUUACCGCCGUUCCAAGAAAUAGUAUAUAGUCCAAAAAAAUAGUGAGAUAAUGAUCGUCAGCCCGAAAUAUCAUUUAAGAAUCUUUUGUGUUUUCAAAACAUAGAAUUAUGGCUGAGUUUACAAAAUUAGUAUUAAAAACCCUGGACUGAAUUCAAAUAGUAUGCAAAUCAUGCAAACGCUGAAAUAUCAAUCUCCAAAGGAUUCAACAAGUCGGCCCAAGGCCCAAACAUGGAAUCAAUCCCAGAUAACAUCAAUAUAGGGUGUGAAGCACUCGCCAAUAUAGUAUAAAUCCCUCGGAUUGAAUCGAGUCACAAUUUCCCACAUAUAUGACCCUGCACUAGCCAUGGAGUUCGUGGCUCGCCUCAUAUAGUGUCACAAUGUGAUGUACCUGGGUUCCAAAUAAUCGGAAAUAAGCCCCAAGUAUGGAAAUGAGCCCAAGUCAUAAUAAUAACAACAAAACAUUUACAAUAUAGCGGUAAACCAACAACCGGGAUGGACCAAGUCACGAUCCCCAACAGUGCUCUACCCCACGCUCAGGUCCAGCGUGCAAGAGGGUGUGCAAAUCUGGGGUUUCAAACCCUCAGGAUAUCAUUCCCAAAUAUUACUCACCUCGAACCGGCAAAAUCUCUAGCCCGCGAUGCCAUUGCUCCUCAAAUCAGCCUCCACACAAUCGAAUCUCAAAAUGAGCUUUCCCAAAAAUAAAACGAGCUACUAUCAAUCGGAACUACAAGCGGAACCUCGAACCCGAACAUAUGGAGUAAAAGACAUUCUCGUCUUCUGGAACUAAAACCUCGCGCUAAGAAUAUGUCCACCCCUUGAUGCUAUGCAAUCUGAUAGCUUGCUACGAUUCCUACUUCAUCCUCACGAGAGAAUAUUUCCAAAGUUAACAAAGAAGCUUUUAGACAAUCCUAUUUCUUGCCGCCAACCAAAUCAGAAACCACACCGACGAUCUCGAACGGAAUUUAUCGACCUAAAAAAACUUCACCGGAUAAACUGGAACCUCUUGAACCCAACUCGAAAUUCUAGCUAAACUCAAUACUCCAUAAUCUGCUAGUUUCGAAGAUUAUAUAUGGAUCGGGGAUGGUCUCCUUCUUAGCUUUGUUAGUAAUUGAGCAGAUGAAGUUUUCCUUAUAAACUCUUAACGUUGUCAAAAGAUGCAAAGUUCAAUAAUUAAUUCUACAUUUUUCCCUUAUAUGUGUUGCCGCCGUAAAUCCUUUUUGUUUUCAGCCGCACUUGAUUUGUUGUCUUUUGGAUUUCCGUUCACAACUAGGAAGAUAGCCGAUUUGUUUUUUUUCUUUUUUUAAGAAAUCCGGGGUCUGCUUUUGGUGUUUUGCGGGUGUUCAAGGUUCUAGGUGUAGGAGUUGAGAUUCUUUUCUUCUUCCUUUUUUUUUUUCUCACUUAAAACUUUCUAAAAGAUGCCCCAGUUUGUACUCU